CUACGUGCCAGCAGCCGCGGUAAUACGGAAGGUCCGGGCGUUAUCCGGAUUUAUUGGGUUUAAAGGGAGCGUAGGCCGGAGAUUAAGUGUGUUGUGAAAUGUAGACGCUCAACGUCUGACUUGCAGCGCAUACUGGUUUCCUUGAGUACGCAUAACGUUGGCGGAAUUCGUCGUGUAGCGGUGAAAUGCUUAGAUAUGACGAAGAACUCCGAUUGCGAAGGCAGCUGACGGGAGCGCAACUGACGCUGAAGCUCGAAGGUGCGGGUAUCGAACAGGAUUAGAUACCCUGGUAGUCCGCACAGUAAACGAUGGAUGCCCGCUGUUGGUACUUGGUAUCAGUGGCUAAGCGAAAGCAUUAAGCAUCCCACCUGGGGAGUACGCCGGCAACGGUGAAACUCAAAGGAAUUGACGGGGGCCCGCACAAGCGGAGGAACAUGUGGUUUAAUUCGAUGAUACGCGAGGAACCUUACCCGGGCUUGAA
This 481-nucleotide ribosomal RNA is filed under the name uncultured bacterium. RNAcentral's name for it is "bacterial SSU rRNA". It matches the Rfam family "Bacterial small subunit ribosomal RNA", at positions 501 to 985 of the family's 1533-position model. The record is from RNAcentral.